CCAUCGGUGGUUCAGUGGUAGAAUCCUCGCCUGCCACGCGGGCGGCCUGGGUUCGAUUCCCGGCCGAUGCA
Molecule: transfer RNA, 71 nt
Filed under: Cordylochernes scorpioides
Lineage: Eukaryota; Metazoa; Arthropoda; Arachnida; Pseudoscorpiones; Chernetidae
Description: tRNA-Gly
Rfam family: tRNA
About the family: Transfer RNA (tRNA) molecules are approximately 80 nucleotides in length. Their secondary structure includes four short double-helical elements and three loops (D, anti-codon, and T loops).
Source: RNAcentral